CGUGAGCGGCGGACGGGGAGGUAAAACGUGGGUAACCGGCCUCCAUACAGGGGAGUAACAGUUGGAAACGGACUGCUAAUACCGCAUAAGCGCACAGUACCGCAUGGUACGGUGUGAAAAACUACCGGUGGUAUGAGAUGGACCCGCGUCUGAUUAGUAGUUGGUGGGGUAACGGCCUACCAAGCCGACGAUCAGUAGCCGACCUGAGAGGGUGACCGGCCACAUUGGGACUGAGACACGGCCCAA
RNAcentral lists this ribosomal RNA (246 nucleotides) under uncultured bacterium. RNAcentral describes it as "partial 16S ribosomal RNA". It matches the Rfam family "Bacterial small subunit ribosomal RNA", at positions 90 to 334 of the family's 1533-position model. The record is from RNAcentral.